This is a long non-coding RNA of Esox lucius (northern pike), 725 nucleotides long. RefSeq lists it as uncharacterized. The record is from RefSeq and is a predicted model, not a curated record. The transcript has 3 exons. Lineage: Eukaryota; Metazoa; Chordata; Actinopteri; Esociformes; Esocidae.
CAUAUCAUAUUCACAGCCCUGCCUCGACGGAAUCCGCCCUUUGUCAACCCGAAAUGUUGCAUUUUUGUUUUCCCUCUCAUCAUUUAAAAUGCCGAAAUAUGUAUAAUUAAUAUUAAUGCCUCUUACAGUUUCAGUUGUUUUCAGGAAGGGACGGGAUUGUGUAUCCGACCGUUCUCAUUUCAAGGUCACUUGUAAGCUGUACUCCCAAAAGGAAAAAACAUCACUAAGGAGAUGGAGCAACAUGAGCUACCAGGUGUUCAACUGGGAUGGGAUUCGGUGACUGCGAAGGCCAUAACAUAUGAUUGACAUUAUUAUCAUACUUACCAAACCAUUAAGUGACCCCUCGUGCCCUCUGAGUUGGGGCGCUGUCAUCCUGGAAGAGACGGCGACCAUCAAGAUAGGACUGUUUCAGAAUAACUUCCCUCCAAGGGGAAGAAGUGAACCCAGACCAUGUGUUUGGUAAUGAGGGGUUCAUCCACUGCAACCCUGUUAUAACAUCUCUCUCUCUGUGGAGUUCUUGACAGAUUGUUCCUGCUGACAAAUUCUGAUCACGUACUGCACUGGCAUUCUCAGUCACCUGGGAGCAUCACGGUCAUCGAAUGUGUGCUUCCGCCCAUUAUUUCCGACCCUAUUUACUGAUGUCUUUACCCUGACUCUAAAUGCAGAUGUAACAUUAGUCUCUGUUCCUAUUGAAACACUAGCCAGUUCAGUGUUUGUGACUGAAG